ACCUUGGCUCUAGACUGAUUACU
Molecule: microRNA, 23 nt
Filed under: Callorhinchus milii (elephant shark)
Lineage: Eukaryota; Metazoa; Chordata; Chondrichthyes; Chimaeriformes; Callorhinchidae
Also listed under: 1 other name
Description: Cmi-Mir-132-P2_5p* (star (passenger))
Source: RNAcentral